CACAUGCAAGUCGUGCGAGAAAGUAUCUUCGGAUAUGAGUAGAGCGGCGGACGGGUGAGUAACGCGUAGGAAUCUACCUAGUAGAAGGGGAUAGCCCGGGGAAACUCGGAUUAAUACCGUAUACCUCCUUUGGGAGAAAGAGGGCCUCUCUUGAUGCUCUCGCUAUUAGAUGAGCCUGCGUAAGAUUAGCUUGUUGGUAAGGUAAUGGCUUACCAAGGCUACGAUCUUUAGCUGGUCUGAGAGGACGAUCAGCCACAUUGGGACUGAGACACGGCCCAGACUCCUACGGGAGGCAGCAGUGGGGAAUAUUGGACAAUGGGCGCAAGCCUGAUCCAGCCAUACCGCGUGUGUGAAGAAGGCCUUCGGGUUGUAAAGCACUUUAAGCAGGGAGAAAAAGCUAUAAGUUAAUACCUUAUAGCCGUGAUGUUACCUGCAAAAUAAGCACCGGCUAAUUCCGU
Molecule: ribosomal RNA, 458 nt
Filed under: uncultured Pseudomonadota bacterium
Lineage: Bacteria; Pseudomonadati; Pseudomonadota
Description: bacterial SSU rRNA
Rfam family: Bacterial small subunit ribosomal RNA
Source: RNAcentral